RNAcentral lists this long non-coding RNA (733 nucleotides) under Equus caballus (horse). RNAcentral describes it as "lncRNA (ENSECAG00000050081.1)". Lineage: Eukaryota; Metazoa; Chordata; Mammalia; Perissodactyla; Equidae. The record is from RNAcentral.
CCUGCCCCAGGCCCUUCAAAGGGGUCUGGCACAUUCUUCAUUCUUCAAAGCCUUCAUUGAAGUCCCUCCUCUGAGAGGCCUUCUAACCUUGACAUCAGAGGAGAGCUCUGCCUCCGUGUCCUCCCCACAACUUUGCUCUUUCGCAUGUGGGGGCACAGACAUGAAGUUUUCAGGCCUGGAUGGGGAACAAGCGAAUGUCACUGCUGUGCUUUGCAAGUCCUGGAACCAAGGCCGGGGUGCUAGAAAGGAAAACGACCAUGGCAAACCCAUCCUGCUGUCCCCCACCCCUUGGGGGGCUGCUGAGAAGGCAGGAGAUGCCUUCUAUUGAGAACCCCUCAUUCCCACCCCAGCCACUUUGCAUUCUGGGGGAGGGGAACAGGAGCCACUUGUCAUUGUCCCUGAACGCUGGCUGGCAGGAGGCCCGGGGAGGGAGCUCCCCAAUGGGGAAUCUGCAGCUGCCUGUCUUUAAGGUAAAAUUACCGUAAUUACUCCAAUUACCAAAUCCAUCAAGAGCUUUGGACUGAGGAGUCCGGAGAACAAUCGGAUCUGAGGAGCCCUGGACAUUGGCACCUGGAGCUCCUGGUGGGACUCACCCUGCAUGGAAGACUGCCAUGACCACCAGGCCACCCCACUGAGACAGAAGGUGACCUUGACCACCCAUGAGAAUGAUUUAAGUACUGUGGAGUUAUGUAUACUGUACCACUGUUAAAAAUAUGUACAUAGCAUAAAAUUU